Caerostris darwini is the source of this 73-nucleotide non-coding RNA. Lineage: Eukaryota; Metazoa; Arthropoda; Arachnida; Araneae; Araneidae. The record is from the annotation of a GenBank genome assembly.
ACACCGAAGUCAAGCAUCAUUGGGCGCGGUCAGUACUUGGGUGGGUGACCACCUGGGGACACCGCGUGCCGUU